Non-coding RNA from Saimiri boliviensis boliviensis (Bolivian squirrel monkey), 1845 nucleotides. Lineage: Eukaryota; Metazoa; Chordata; Mammalia; Primates; Cebidae. The record is from RefSeq and is a predicted model, not a curated record.
AAACCAAAGGUAUCCAUGAAGACUUUGCUUCCUUCUUCCAGUAGCUCACAGAGACCAAAGUUGGCACACAGUACCCUCCUAACACCAAACACUCUACAAUUCCUUCUACUUGGGAUGUGUGAAAGCACAGACGGAUGGAGACGUGGCUACUUGGAAAUUGUCCUUAAAGGAACCACAGAAUCAUAUUUUAGAGCUGAGUGAAUGGGGCCCCUGGAUUGCACCUGCAACCUCAUGUUCUAGAAUGUUGGUUCCAUGAAGGCAUGAUUUUGUCUCUUUGGUUCACUACUGAUACCAGUGCCUGGAGAUGUUAAGUAGAUAAAAAACCAAGAAAAGCGAGGGAGAAAAUUCAAUACAUUUGAGAACAAAGGCAGCCAUGAACCUUUCCAUCUUGAGAACCUGAAUAUGUAGCCAAAUCUCAGCAGACAGAGGUGUAUAAUGCCAGAUAAAUCUUGCUGAAUGAGAGACCCAUCCUACUGGUAUAAACAACAUUUGAACACUACAGCCCCCACCCUUAUCAGCCAGACCUCCAUUUUCUAUACAUAGAGUCUUUGUUGGAACACUCCAAGCCAGUUAUUUCACCAACCUAGGUCUGGUCCCUCUCUAAGGCCCAGGGACAAAUAAUCAGUUCAGGAUUGAAUUGAGAAAAGAUAAUACUACCUUGACGGAAAAGAACCACAGGACCAAACUGAACCUGUCAAGACUUAAGGGGCCAAGGGAUAGAGGGUCCCCCUCCCGAAGGAGCAAACAAAGGCAGGCAACAAUUGGGUGACCUGUUAAAGAGAAAAGAAGCUCAGGACAGGGGAAGUGCCACUUUCUAGUAUUACAAAAAUAUCCUUUAGGCAAGGUGAGGCCUUUUUUGACUCUGACACUAUUUUUUUUUUAAACCAACCCUGAAAGAAAGAUGAUAGGGUCAAGGUUAGUUGACAGAACAGCAGGUAGGGAAGGAGAUGAGACAUUCAGACAUCAGGAGUGUGAGCAAGACAGUCUUCUUCUCUGCACCUGAGUAAUCUUCUUUCUACAUCAGGCCUAAUGUCCCUUCCCAUGUUUCCUGAGUAGUCAAGGAAGCAACAAACCCAAGUGGUUAGGAGUGAGAACUAAGAAUCAGAUGGGCCUGGUUUGCAUUCCAUUGUUGUUACUGGCUAGCUGUGCAACCCAUGGCAAGCCACUGCAAGUCUCAGAGCUUUGGUUUCCUUACAUGUGAAAAUGACAAAUAUAGGGCCAGCGUAACACAAGCAUGGUGAACACCUGAUGAUGCAAUAUGUGCAAAGUGCUUAACGUAGUUCCUGGUACAAUAUUAAGCACUUCAUAAAUGUCUGCUGUUAUGAUUAUCAAUCAAAACACAGCAGUAAUAAAUUAAGGCAUGUUACUGGAGCUUAGCUUUCCUACCGAUAAAGAACUAGACAAUCUCAAGUGUUCCUUCAGCUCUGCUGUUUAUCUGGAAAAUCACGACAGACACUCAGUAAUACAGAAAUGUCUGCUCCAGACCACGUGAACUGGAGAAGAGAAUUUGGUUCUCUUCAGCUUCAAUCCAUGUUUGGGUUCGUAAGUUUUGCUGCCUUUCUUCUUUUCUCUACGUAUAGACACCUAGGGAAACUCAAGAUGCCAGAGAUCCUUGACACCUGGCUACAUGGUAGGCUGUGUGACGAUGGAGUCGAGAGCUGAACCACGCAAGGACAGAGGGCCUCUGCAGGAACUCUGGGAAUCAGCAUGUUGGUACCUACGUGGAGUUCUCCUUCCAGACCCAGAAACUGGAGCACACAAGGCACUGGGGAAAUGACCAGCAACUUCACAGCCCAAGGAUUCUCUGACUGGUUGAGGGGUCUAAUGUAUUCUGUCACGCCAUCU